UAAAAUUUGGUGCUCAUUUCCGGCUGCCAAUAAAAGGCAUCAGAAUUGCCUUGGUGAGGGGUUCCUUUUCAGCGAUAUAGUCCCCCCAAAACUCUCUCAUUAGUUUUUGAGAUCUGAAGUAAAAAUUCAAUUUCAAAAAAUCAAAAACAAAACAAAAAAUCAAAAUCCAAAAAUCUCUAACGUUUCAUUGAGAACUUGCAAAUUUGAUCCUAUUUUCAGCAAGUCUCUUCACAUUUUGUAUUUUUAGUUGAGUUUGGGUUUGUUAAAGCAGUUGGGUGCCUUUUCAAGUAGGUUUCGCAUCGGGUGGGUUUAACUUGGGGUCUAAUUUGGGUUCUCUAAGCUGUUUUGGCUUCGGUUGUGUGUGGAAAUUGUUCUAAAGUUUCACUUCUUUAAUUCUGGGUAUAUUCAAGUUCGUUUGAGUCUUUUGGUUUGAUUAUUUGUGGUUGCUGUUGAUUCCUUAACUUGUUUUGGGUUGUGGUCGAGUUUAAGUCUAAGUUGUUGCUGCUCGAUACUACUUUAUUGCUAACAUCUCUCCUCUCCUUUGUUUCCCUCUAUUUCCAGGUACACAUUCGAGGUUGUAAUUUCCUUAAUGAAAUGAAAAAUGCAAUGGCACUCAAAGGCUUGAUGAAGUUUCGACUGUGUUUUCACUUUCAUGAAGAGUUUUAGGAUUUAACUUCAUUGCACUUAUUGAUUUAGUUGUUAGCUUUACUGAGUUUGAAUUGUGAUCAGUGUGAAAUUAAUAUUGGACUGUACCUAGGACUGUUAAUUAGAAUAAAUGGAAUGUGCAUACUUGGGUAUAUAAUAUGUGAAGUGUAAUUUGAAUUUGACCUGUAUGAUUGAUGAACACAAGAUGGUAUAGUGGGCGAGCUUCAGGAUCACUUGCUCAUUUGAAUUACUAGCACUGUGCUUGUUUUUUUCAAGAGUUAGAUAAUUCAUAGGUCACAUGAGCUGGGAUUUCUAUCUCUUUGGAAAUGUUGCUUAGAUAGUCUUUAUUGUCAACAAUCCCUAUUGAUUUAAUUUGUGAGUUUAUAACGUCAAACUGAGUAGUUGUUUGAAUAAAAACGGAAGGUUUUACGAUUUCA
RNAcentral lists this long non-coding RNA (1082 nucleotides) under Nicotiana benthamiana. RNAcentral's name for it is "long non-coding RNA (NBEN_LNC021918)". The record is from RNAcentral. Lineage: Eukaryota; Viridiplantae; Streptophyta; Magnoliopsida; Solanales; Solanaceae.